GGAGGACCGCGAGGCAGACGGUGCCUUCUCGUAGGGCGCAGCGAUGCAGCGCCCCCUGCAGCAUCCCUUCUCCACCGCCGACGUGAGCUUUUCGCCGUAAAUGCCAAGUCCGGCUGGGGACCUCAGAAAAGGGCUGCUCCGGCUUCGUGGCUGCAGAGAUCGAGGAGUCCGAUGGCGUCCCCGCGCAACCCCCCUGCGUAACGGUGGAUGAAAACAGUCACAAACAUCCGGCCCCAUCUGUCACCGUAGCGAGCCGCUUUCCUCGAUGACAUCGCGCCCCCGGCCCCAGGAGACGGCGCGAGGAGCGGAAACGGAUACGUCUACCAGACGGCGAGCGCUCCCCUUACUUUUGGAUGGGAAAUUGAUACAAACCCAGCAUUUCUUCUGAAGGAAACGCUCCGAUAUCCACGCGCGCCACAGGAGUGCGUAACGAAUUGCCGUUCUCAUCUCUCCGGUUUCCGCUUCAUAUUACUGCUUUUGGGUCAUAUUUCUGUGAAAUAAUAAAAAAUGGAAUAUAGUGGUGUGGGAUAUAAAUCUCCGGCAUUCCCAGCACGGUGAGUGAGAAGAGGCCCUGCAUGUCGAGAUCUGGUGGCUGUGAGUGGUUGGCCAGAUCGAGGCCCACCGGGUCCGUCCUGUAAGAGAAAACACCCAGGUGGCCAUUUCAGGCUCAGCUGACCAUCAUGGACAUCACCAUGGUACAAGUAAGUACACACACACACACACACACAUUUUCAGAACCGCAUGUCCCAUACGGGGUUGCAGGGAACCAGAGCCGACCCGGCAACACAGGGCAUAAGGCCGGAGGGGGAGGGGACACACCCGGGACAGGAUGCCAGUCCGCCACAAGGCGCCACAAGGCACCCCAAGCGGGACUCGAACCCCAGCCCCACCGGAGAGCAGGACCAGGUCCAACCCACUGCACCACCGCGCCCCCCAUACAAAGCGGCCAUGUGCCAGACGAACGGAUCUUCGUGCCCAAGAAGUUGCGCGGAGCUGCGUGGGAAGAGCGCCAUCAGCUGCCGGACGGAGCCGGUGCGCCACCGACGUGCUGGAAGGGGACAGGGGACGGAGACAGCGCCGCACACGGGGGGUCGGACACACCGCACAUGAGGCGACCCAGCAUGAGUCACACCUGGACGCUCCGCUCAAGGGAACGGGAAUUUCAGAUAGGAACCUUUCGGUGAGGCUUUGAGGUUUCCCUUCGGGGGGGGGCGGGGGUGUCACCGGCGGACAUGAUGAAACCCACUCGGCCCCCGGUUGCAAAACCGCAGGAGCUUAUGGGAAGUGGCAUCAGUUUGGCGCAAGUCGGGGCGCACAUUGUGAAAGAGACCCUCGCAGUUAUUCCGGAAAGAGUCUCCCAGGGCCCACACAGGAUGCGGAGGGCAAUCGUCUUUCUGGAACGUUCCUGAAGGUCCGUCAGUUCUCACCUGCGCUCAGGUACUCCGCCCCGGUGGGUUCCAAAAGGGGCCGAUGAGGUUUGGCCUUUAACACUCAAGAAAAAAGUGCGUAAUGUAUAUCCUGCAGCGUUAAAUUUAGAGAAAUUAUUUUUACACAUUUUUGUAGGUGACAGAUAAUGACUACAUACAAACAUAGGCAGAUUUCUGGCAAAUAAACACAAAUUACAACAUUAAAUCCA
This is a long non-coding RNA of Scleropages formosus (Asian bonytongue), 1636 nucleotides long. The record is from Ensembl. Lineage: Eukaryota; Metazoa; Chordata; Actinopteri; Osteoglossiformes; Osteoglossidae.